UAUUCCUAAAAGAAACCAUUUGAGGGGUGGCACUCAAUGAGGUUAAAUGAAAUUAUUGAGGAAACCAAAAUUGAAAAGCCUACUGGGAUAAACUUCAUCAUGAUCCACCUACCUCGGCCUCCCAAAGUGCUGGGAUUGCAGGCGUGAGCCACCGCGUCACACCUGAGCUUUUCAAACAGGAAAAAAAUUUUUAAUUCAGAAGUUUUUUGACACUGGAAUGGAAGAGGAAACAGGGGACCCAGAGGAUACCUUAAAGAAACACUACAGGACGUGAUGGUACAAUAGGGGAGAAGAAGAGAGAAAAAUCAAAGAUGUAGUACAGAAAACACUCAGCUCUGGAGCCUGGAAAACAGGCGGUCCCGCUAAGAAAAACGGAAAUGUAAAAGAACAGCCAGUUUUGAAGAAAGGCGAGAAUUCAAUUUUGUGCAUAUUAAUUUAUCUAUCGUACCUAGGGCCCAGCGACAGUCAUGCCGGAAGCAUCUCAAAUUUUUAAAAAUGUAAAUGUGAAAAGCAGACAAGCAGUUCCUGCAUUUUGUCAUCUCAAAUAUCAUCGAUUUGAUUUCGUGAAAGUCUCUUUUACACAACUCUAUUUGACUUUCUGCCUCCACGAGUUCAUUUAUCAGGCUCAGCCAUCACUUUCAGGAGUCAUGGGGGAUUGCAGCCCCGCCCUUAGUAAACCGGGUAAGUCCGGGCUCGGCUCGCCUAUGCAGGAGUGCCAUCUAGUGGUCAGAGAAUGUCACUUCAAGCUAGACUACAGGAGGAAUAAAUACAAGGGGACCUCAGGGACAUUCUGCUUUUGUUUCCAAUUUCCAGGCGUGCUGUGACUGAAAAAAAGGGAAAACAUUCCAUUCAUUGCCUAGAUAUGACUUUAUGAGAGCACGUCCAGUUACAGUGCCAAAAAGUGAAAUCCAACGUCUGCUUUUAACAUAUUCUUAAAUGAGACUGAUGUGGUCUAAAGGAGAAAACAGUAAAAUCAGCAUCGCUUUUUA
This is a long non-coding RNA of Gorilla gorilla gorilla (western lowland gorilla), 989 nucleotides long. RefSeq lists it as uncharacterized. Lineage: Eukaryota; Metazoa; Chordata; Mammalia; Primates; Hominidae. The transcript has 2 exons. The record is from RefSeq and is a predicted model, not a curated record.